GCCGGGCACAGUGGCGAAUGCCUGUAAUCCCAGCAACUUGGGAGGCUGAGGCAGGAGAAUCACAAUUUCAAAGCUGGCCUCAGCAACUUAACAAGGCCCUAAGCAACUCAGCAAGACCAUGUCUCUA
This 127-nucleotide small RNA is filed under the name Marmota monax (woodchuck). Lineage: Eukaryota; Metazoa; Chordata; Mammalia; Rodentia; Sciuridae. The record is from RNAcentral.